GAUGAACGCUGGCGGCGUGCUUAACACAUGCAAGUCGAACGGUGAAGGCGGAGCUUGCUCUGCUGGAUCAGUGGCGAACGGGUGAGUAACACGUGAGCAAUCUGCCCCUGACUCUGGGAUAAGCGCUGGAAACGGCGUCUAAUACUGGAUACGAGCUGCGAAGGCAUCUUCAGCAGCUGGAAAGAAUUUCGGUCAGGGAUGAGCUCGCGGCCUAUCAGCUUGUUGGUGAGGUAAUGGCUCACCAAGGCGUCGACGGGUAGCCGGCCUGAGAGGGUGACCGGCCACACUGGGACUGAGACACGGCCCAGACUCCUACGGGAGGCAGCAGUGGGGAAUAUUGCACAAUGGGCGAAAGCCUGAUGCAGCAACGCCGCGUGAGGGACGACGGCCUUCGGGUUGUAAACCUCUUUUAGCAGGGAAGAAGCGAAAGUGACGGUACCUGCAGAAAAAGCGCUGGCUAACUACGUG
Molecule: ribosomal RNA, 468 nt
Filed under: uncultured bacterium
Lineage: Bacteria
Description: partial 16S ribosomal RNA
Rfam family: Bacterial small subunit ribosomal RNA
Source: RNAcentral